Molecule: transfer RNA, 85 nt
Filed under: Cronobacter muytjensii 530
Lineage: Bacteria; Pseudomonadati; Pseudomonadota; Gammaproteobacteria; Enterobacterales; Enterobacteriaceae
Description: tRNA-Ser-TGA
Rfam family: tRNA
About the family: Transfer RNA (tRNA) molecules are approximately 80 nucleotides in length. Their secondary structure includes four short double-helical elements and three loops (D, anti-codon, and T loops).
Source: RNAcentral
GGAAGUGUGGCCGAGCGGUUGAAGGCACCGGUCUUGAAAACCGGCGACCCGAAAGGGUUCCAGAGUUCGAAUCUCUGCGCUUCCC